RNAcentral lists this ribosomal RNA (108 nucleotides) under Planctomycetota bacterium. Lineage: Bacteria; Pseudomonadati; Planctomycetota. The record is from RNAcentral.
CCCGGUGACUAUAGGUGUCUGGCCAUACCCGUUCCCAUUCCGAACACGGUCGUCAAGCAGGUGCCGCCGAUGAUAGUGCUUAUGCGCGAAAGUAGGUGAUUGCCGGGG